This 528-nucleotide ribosomal RNA is filed under the name uncultured bacterium. Its description in RNAcentral is "bacterial SSU rRNA". It matches the Rfam family "Bacterial small subunit ribosomal RNA", at positions 848 to 1377 of the family's 1533-position model. The record is from RNAcentral.
GAAGCUAACGCGUUAAGUGAUCCACGUGGGGAGUACGCUCGCAAGGGUGAAAUUCAAAGGAAUUGACGGGGGCCCGCACAAGCAGUGGAGCAUGUGGUUUAAUUNGAUGCAACGCGAAGAACCUUACCUAGGCUUGAAAAGCUCUCUAAACCGGUGAAAGCCGGGUACCCGCAAGGGGGGGAGUACAGGUGCUGCAUGGCUGUNGUCAGCUCGUGCCGUGAGGUGUUUGGUUAAGUCCAGCAACGAGCGCAACCCCUAGAUUCAGUUACCAGCGAGUAAUGUCGGGAACUCUGGAUCGACUGCCUACGCAAGUAGUGAGGAAGGUGGGGACGACGUCAAGUCAUCAUGGCCCUUACGCCUAGGGCUACACACGUGCUACAAUGGCAUCUACAACGCGCUGCAAUACCGUGAGGUGGAGCGAAUCGCUAAAAAGAUGUCUCAGUUCAGAUCGGAGUCUGCAACUCGACUCCGUGAAGUUGGAAUUGCUAGUAAUCGGGGGUCAGCACACCCCGGUGAAUACGUUCCCGG